This 349-nucleotide long non-coding RNA is filed under the name Mytilus galloprovincialis (Mediterranean mussel). Lineage: Eukaryota; Metazoa; Mollusca; Bivalvia; Mytilida; Mytilidae. The record is from RNAcentral.
AUUUUAUUUUUGAGUUAUUGAGUAUUUUGUAAAAAAGGGGAGUUUUUUUUUUACAUGUCGCGCCGUAUAUCAAAAACAAUUUAUGAUUAUUGCUUGAAACUGUACACACUUCUUUGUUAUAUUAAUCUAAAGAUCUGUAUACUUUUUGGUUUGAUUCAAAAUUUUAUUUUAGUGAUAUUUGUAAUAAGAAAACAGGGUUGGGGGGUUUCACAUGUCCCGCCGUGUCUCAAAAGCAAUAAAUGGUAAUUGCUUAAAACUUUCUCAGAAACUAUUUAUGAUCAUUGCAUAAAACUUCCACACAAGACGUCGGGCGUAUCAUGCGCUCAUGGCGCAGCUGUUUAUUUUAUUU